Molecule: ribosomal RNA, 512 nt
Filed under: uncultured bacterium
Lineage: Bacteria
Description: partial 16S ribosomal RNA
Rfam family: Bacterial small subunit ribosomal RNA
Source: RNAcentral
GAUGAACGCUGGCGGCGUGCCUAAUACAUGCAAGUCGAACGAAACUUCUUUAUCACCGAGUGCUUGCACUCACCGAUAAAGAGUUGAGUGGCGAGCGGGUGAGUAACACGUGGGCAACCUGCCCAAAAGAGGGGGAUAACACUUGGAAACAGGUGCUAUUACCGCAUAACCAUAGUUACCGCAUGGUAACUAUGUAAAAGGUGGCUUUACUACCGCUUUUGGAUGGGCCCGCGGCGCAUUAGCUAGUUGGUAGGGUAAAGGCUUACCAAGGCAAGGAUGCGUAGCCGAAUUGAGAGGGUGAUCGGCCACAUUGGGACUGAGACACGGCCCAAACUCCUACGGGAGGCAGCAGUAGGGAAUCUUCCACAAUGGGCGAAAGCCUGAUGGAGCAACGCCGCGUGGGUGAAGAAGGUCUUCGGAUCGUAAAACCCUGUUGUUAGAGAAGAAAGUGCGUGAGAGUAACUGUUCACGUUUCGACGGUAUCUAACCGGAAAGCCACGGCUAACUACGUG